AUGCUCGCCAACGAGUACUCGUGCGCGGCGAACCGGUGCUUCGGGGUGGCCGGCGCCGGAGAGGAGUGCUCGGAGAUGGGGCGCGACGUGCUGGCGGCGAGGGGCCUCACGGCGGAGGAGCGGUGGACGGGAGUGCAGGUGCUGUUUGGAUUUUUCCUCCUCUACCGGGUGCUCUACUGGGUCGUGCUCAGCCGGAGAGCGUCCAGAUCCAAGAGUGCGUAUACGAGUGUGUGUGAACGCAUGCAUGGAGAAGAAGGAGCCGCCGCCGACCGCUUCGAGUUGCCCACCGCACGCAACCCCAAGGGCCGCUCCGACCUCCCCGACAUUGACAAGCUCGCCUACUACCUCUGCGAUGAUAGCGGCGCGCUCCUCACCUUCGACGCGCUCGCCGAGACCGCCAGCUUCGCGCGCACGUGGGUGCAGUUCUGCCGGAAGCACGGCGUCGAGCCGCGCUGCCCAGAGUCAUACUUCGGCCAGAAGCGGGAUUUCCUCAAGAACAAGGUGUGGCUGGACUUCAUCCGUGAGAGGCAGAAGGUGAAGUGGGAGUACGACGAGUUCAAGGUGCGGGUCAACUCGCUGACAGAUGCGAUCCAACGGCGCUCUGACGCGUACAAAUACAACGCCGGCGAGGAGCUGCGAGCAAGAAGGCGCCUUCAAGAGGAGGCCGUGGCUGCCAGUGGCGCGCUGGGAGCAGCUUCGUUCGCAGAGACUAGGGCCGUGAAGGCGACAUGGAUGUCUGACGGCUCCCAGUUGCCCGGCACUUGGCUCCGGCACGAACGAGCUUAUGAACAGUACGAAGGAGUUGGCCAUGAGCACCACCGCCCACACCGCCAGCACAAACACUGCGAAUGCCGCCGGCGACGGGCAGAGGCCGACGGGGAAGUAGACGCACGAGGAGUAGAGCAACGCCACCGCCAGGAGGUACGGGAGGAACACCAUCGUGCCGCCGCGGUGGCAUGGGUGGACAGCCGGUACAGACCUGCCGCCGUCUCAGCGAGCACGAUCAGCCGCUCCAUGAGAGUAAAUUGCUCAAAGCCACCACAUUUGUGGUUAGAGUACUUCAAAACUACCGUUUUGUCCAAAAAUCACAAAAAACCAUCACUUUUGUGGCAAGUGAAUCACAAAGUGCACUGA
Molecule: ribosomal RNA, 1134 nt
Filed under: Triticum aestivum (bread wheat)
Lineage: Eukaryota; Viridiplantae; Streptophyta; Magnoliopsida; Poales; Poaceae
Description: partial small subunit ribosomal RNA
Source: RNAcentral